RNAcentral lists this ribosomal RNA (630 nucleotides) under Ectinocera borealis. Its description in RNAcentral is "partial 12S ribosomal RNA". The stretch from base 414 to 485 matches the Rfam family "tRNA". Lineage: Eukaryota; Metazoa; Arthropoda; Insecta; Diptera; Sciomyzidae. The record is from RNAcentral.
CUGAGUAGUAUUUGUUAUGUUCUUGAAACUUAAAAAAUUUGGCGGUACCUUAGUCUAGUCAGAGGAACCUGUUCUGUAAUCGAUAGUCCACGAUGGACCUUUCUUCCCUUUGCUUACAGUUUAUAUACCGUCGUUAUCAGAAUAUUUUAAAAGAAUAAUAAUUUUCAAUAUAUAAUAUUUCAUAUCAUAUCAGAUCAAGGUGUAGCUUAUAGGGAAGUAGAAAUGGGUUACAAUAAAAUUAUUUAAACGGAUAUAAAAUGAAAAAUUUAUUGAAGGUGGAUUUGAUAGUAAAGUUAUAUAGAUAAAUAAUUUGAUAAUAGCUCUAAGGUAUGCACACAUCGCCCGUCACUCUUAUUACUAAGAUAAGAUAAGUCGUAACAUAGUAGAUGUACCGGAAGGUGUAUCUAGAAUGACAAUCUAAAUCUUAUAUAGUAAAGUAUUUCAUUUACAUUGAAAAGAUUUUUGUGCAAAUCAUUAUAGGUUGAUUAUGAUUUAUUUAUUGAUUAUUUUAUUUUUAGUUUAUUUUAUUAAAAAUAAUUAUAAAAUUUAUGUUUUAGUAUUGUAUAAAGAAAAAAUAUUAUAAAUGAUAGUUUACUUGUAUCGUGAGAGAUUAUUGAAAUAACUGAAAAA